RNAcentral lists this transfer RNA (77 nucleotides) under Mycobacterium botniense. RNAcentral describes it as "tRNA-Gly". Lineage: Bacteria; Bacillati; Actinomycetota; Actinomycetes; Mycobacteriales; Mycobacteriaceae. The record is from RNAcentral.
ACCGCUGUGGCGGAAGGCGCCGGCGUGGCUAUCGCUCCCGACGAGGGCGCUUACGCGUUCGAAACGCUUCUGCGCCA